This 600-nucleotide ribosomal RNA is filed under the name uncultured bacterium. RNAcentral describes it as "bacterial SSU rRNA". It matches the Rfam family "Bacterial small subunit ribosomal RNA", at positions 742 to 1342 of the family's 1533-position model. The record is from RNAcentral.
GACGCUGAGGCUCGAAAGCGUGGGGGAGCAAACAGGAUUAGAUACCCUGGUAGUCCACGCCGUGAACGAUGAAUACUAGGUGUUGGGGCCCACAGGGCUUCGGUGCCGCAGCUAACGCAAUAAGUAUUCCACCUGGGGAGUACGUUCGCAAGAAUGAAACUCAAAGGAAUUGACGGGGACCCGCACAAGCGGUGGAGCAUGUGGUUUAAUUAGAAGCAACGCGAAGAACCUUACCGAGUCUUGACAUCCCGAUGACCAACUAUGUAAUGUAGUCUCUCUUCGGAGCAUCGGUGACAGGUGGUGCAUGGUUGUCGUCAGCUCGUGUCGUGAGAUGUUGGGUUAAGUCCCGCAACGAGCGCAACCCUUGUCCUUAGUAGCCAGCAGUAAGAUGGGCACUCUAGGGAGACUGCCAGGGUGAACCUGGAGGAAGGUGGGGAUGACGUCAAAUCAUCAUGCCCCUUAUGACUUGGGCUACACACGUGCUACAAUGGCGUAAACAAAGAGAAGCGAAGUCGUGAGUCUAAGCAAAUCUCAAAAAUAACGUCUCAGUUCGGAUUGUAGUCUGCAACUCGACUACAUGAAGCUGGAAUCGCUAGUAAU